CCUCUCUCAGGGUCGUACCUGGAGAGUUUCCAGUACUCUACCAGUCUCAGCUACAAGAGGAAGAGUCGAGCAGAGGCAUCCAUUCCAUUCCUAGCUUGGGCAGCGUCUAGUGAGUGAAAGGCAAUCUAUUACAUGU
This is a small nucleolar RNA of Tachyglossus aculeatus (Australian echidna), 136 nucleotides long. Lineage: Eukaryota; Metazoa; Chordata; Mammalia; Monotremata; Tachyglossidae. The record is from RefSeq and is a predicted model, not a curated record.